This 396-nucleotide unclassified non-coding RNA is filed under the name Hevea brasiliensis (rubber tree). The record is from RNAcentral. Lineage: Eukaryota; Viridiplantae; Streptophyta; Magnoliopsida; Malpighiales; Euphorbiaceae.
AAGAAGAACAAUUGUCCCAACGGAGAUAACAAGGACUGCUCGAAGAGGACUGCCCCUGCGAGUCCAACAAAGAACAUCGCGACCAAAGUUUCUGCAAGCUUGUCCAACAGCAGGGCCAUUCUCAGCGACGGAGACCUUGACGCGUUGAAACAGAGAAGAACCCUUAGUUUCAUCGGGAAAGAAAAUGUCGGCGAACAGACGGCGGAGAGGUUCAUAAACGGUCUGAUCCUCAAUACGCACUCCUUUAGAUUGGUAACUGGUUGUAUCUUCUUCCUCAACCGGCACGGUGGCAUUCCGAUCACUGGAGUCGUACGCCUCCGCCAUUUUUGAGGGGCUCCGGCGAAUCUUGAGAAUCAAUAAAUAGUGAAAUUGCGAACUAAGUCAAUAAGUCGGGUG